CCUACGGGUGGCAGCAGUGGGGAAUAUUGGGCAAUGGACGCAAGUCUGACCCAGCAACGUCGCGUGAAGGAAGAAGGCUCUCGGGUUGUAAACCUCUUUUAAGGGGGAAGAGCAGAAGACGGUACCCCUUGAAUAAGCCACGGCUAACUACGUGCCAGUAGGCGCGGUAAUACGCAGGUGGCAAGCGUUGACCGGAUUUACUGGGUGUAAAGGGCGUGAAGCCGGGGAGACAAGGCAUGUGGGAAAUCCCCGGGCUCAACCCGGGACCUGCAGUUGAAACUGGUUCCCUUGAGUGGCGGAGAGGUAAUCGGAAUUCGUGGUGUAGCGGUGAAAUGCGUAGAUAUAAGGAAGAACACCGGUUGCGAAGGCAGAUUACUGGACGAUAACUGACGGUGAGGCGCGAAAGCGUGGGGAGCGAACAGGAUUAGAUACCCGGGUAGUC
This 442-nucleotide ribosomal RNA is filed under the name uncultured bacterium. RNAcentral describes it as "partial 16S ribosomal RNA". It matches the Rfam family "Bacterial small subunit ribosomal RNA", at positions 338 to 795 of the family's 1533-position model. The record is from RNAcentral.